Molecule: ribosomal RNA, 1458 nt
Filed under: uncultured bacterium
Lineage: Bacteria
Description: bacterial SSU rRNA
Rfam family: Bacterial small subunit ribosomal RNA
Source: RNAcentral
AUUGAACGCUGGCGGUAUGCUUAACACAUGCAAGUCGAACGGUAACAGGCUCUUCGGAGUGCUGACGAGUGGCGGACGGGUGAGUAAUGCGUAGGAAUCUGCCUAAAAGUGGGGGACAACUUGGGGAAACUCAAGCUAAUACCGCAUAUGCCCUUCGGGGUAAAGCAGGGGAUCUUCGGACCUUGCGCUUUUAGAUGAGCCUACGUCGGAUUAGCUUGUUGGUGGGGUAAAGGCCUACCAAGGCAACGAUCCGUAGCUGGUCUGAGAGGAUGAUCAGCCACACUGGGACUGAGACACGGCCCAGACUCCUACGGGAGGCAGCAGUGGGGAAUAUUGGACAAUGGGGGAAACCCUGAUCCAGCAAUACCGCGUGUGUGAAGAAGGCCUGCGGGUUGUAAAGCACUUUCAGCAGUGAGGAAGGGGUAACGGUUAAUACCCGUUAUCAUUGACGUUAACUGCAGAAGAAGCACCGGCUAACUCUGUGCCAGCAGCCGCGGUAAUACAGAGGGUGCAAGCGUUAAUCGGAAUUACUGGGCGUAAAGAGUACGUAGGUGGUUGUUUAAGUUAGAUGUGAAAUCCCCGGGCUCAACCUGGGAAUUGCGUUUAAGACUGGAUAACUAGAGUGUUGUAGAGGAAAGUGGAAUUUCAGGUGUAGCGGUGAAAUGCGUAGAUAUCUGAAGGAACACCAGUGGCGAAGGCGACUUUCUGGACAAACACUGACACUGAGGUACGAAAGCGUGGGUAGCAAACAGGAUUAGAUACCCUGGUAGUCCACGCCGUAAACGAUGAGAACUUGCUGUUGGGGACAUAAAGGUCCUUGGUAGCGUAGCUAACGCGAUAAGUUCUCCGCCUGGGGAGUACGGUCGCAAGAUUAAAACUCAAAGGAAUUGACGGGGGCCCGCACAAGCGGUGGAGCAUGUGGUUUAAUUCGAUGCAACGCGAAGAACCUUACCUACCCUUGAUCUCCGGAAUUUAGUAGAGAUACUUUAGUGCCUUCGGGAACCGGAUGACAGGUGCUGCACGGCUGUCGUCAGCUCGUGUCGUGGGAUGUUGGGUUAAGUCCCGUAACGAGCGCAACCCCUAUCCUUAGUUACCAGCGAGUUAUGUCGGGGACUCUAGGGAGACUGCCGGUGAUAAACCGGAGGAAGGUGGGGACGACGUCAAGUCAUCAUGGCCCUUAUGGGUAGGGCUACACACGUGCUACAAUGGUAAGAACAAAGGGAAGCGAAGCAGCGAUGUGGAGCAAAUCUCAUAAAACUUAUCUUAGUCCGGAUUGGAGUCUGCAACUCGACUCCAUGAAGUUGGAAUCGCUAGUAAUCGUAGAUCAGAACGCUACGGUGAAUACGUUCCCGGGCCUUGUACACACCGCCCGUCACACCAUGGGAGUAGGUUGCACCAGAAGUAGUUAGGCUAACCGCAAGGAGGCCGAUUACCACGGUGUGAUUUAUGACUGGGGUG